Molecule: non-coding RNA, 315 nt
Filed under: Calypte anna (Anna's hummingbird)
Lineage: Eukaryota; Metazoa; Chordata; Aves; Apodiformes; Trochilidae
Description: Eukaryotic large subunit ribosomal RNA
Rfam family: Eukaryotic large subunit ribosomal RNA
Source: Rfam by way of RNAcentral
CGACCUCAGAUCAGACGUGGCGACCCGCUGAAUUUAAGCAUAUUAGUCAGCGGAGGAAAAGAAACUAACGAGGAUUCCCUCAGUAACGGCGAGUGAAGAGGGAAGAGCCCAGCGCCGAAUCCCCGCCCCGCGGUGGGGCGCGGGAGAUGUGGCGUACAGAAGCCCCCCUCCCCGGCGGCGCUCUCGGGGGACCCAAGUCCUUGUGAUCGAGGCCGCAGCCCGCGGACGGUGUGAGGCCGGUAGCGGCCCCCCGGCGCGCCGGGCCCGGGGCUUCUCGGAGUCGGGUUGCUUGGGAAUGCAGCCCAAAGCGGGUGG